GAUGAACGCUAGCUACAGGCUUAACACAUGCAAGUCGAGGGGAAACGAUAUUGGAAGCUUGCUUCCGAUAGGCUUCGACUGGCGCACGGGUGAGUCACGCGUAUCCAACCUGCCCACCACUUGGGGAUAACCUUGCGAAACUAAGACUAAUACCCAAUGAUAUCCAUAGAAGACAUCUGAAAUGGAUUAAAGAUUCAUCGGUCAUGGAUGUGGAUGCUUCUGAUUAGUUUGUUGGCGGGGUAACGACCCACCAAGGCGUCGAUCAGUAGGGGUUCUGAGAGGAAGGUCCCCCACAUUGGAACUGAGACACGGUCCAAACUCCUACGGGAGGCAGCAGUGAGGAAUAUUGGUCAAUGGGCGAGAGCCUGAACCAGCCAAGUAGCGUGCAGGAUGACGGCCCUAUGGGUUGUAAACUGCUUUUAUAAGGGAAUAAAGUGGGAGUCGUGACUCCUUUUGCAUGUACCUUAUGAAUAAGGACCGGCUAAUUCCGUGCCAGCAGCCGCCGUAA
This 508-nucleotide ribosomal RNA is filed under the name uncultured bacterium. Its description in RNAcentral is "partial 16S ribosomal RNA". It matches the Rfam family "Bacterial small subunit ribosomal RNA", at positions 28 to 523 of the family's 1533-position model. The record is from RNAcentral.